Molecule: unclassified non-coding RNA, 303 nt
Filed under: fungal sp.
Lineage: Eukaryota; Fungi
Description: partial internal transcribed spacer region
Rfam family: Eukaryotic small subunit ribosomal RNA (bases 1-46)
Source: RNAcentral
AAGUCGUAACAAGGUUUCCGUAGGUGAACCUGCGGAAGGAUCAUUAACACGAAUUACACAUAUUCGUUUCCUUUCUUUAACCACUUUUUGUGUUGGCUUUGCUGUUGUCUUUGAUGACAUGUGAAGCUGAUUUUUUCAUUUGUGUCUUUGUGAUUUGUGAGAUGAGAGCAAUCUCGUUUCAUUUAUUCACAAAUUUACACCCUUUCUUAUUCAACACCUUUCAUACAAAAACAAUCACAACAAAAUCAUACAAAAGAGUAAAAAAAACAAAAACAACUCUUAGCAACGGAUAUCUUGGUUCUC